UCGCCUGUUUAACAAAAACAUGUCUUUUUGAUUUUUUUUUAAAGUUUAACCUGCCCAGUGAAUUAUUUUUUUAACGGCCGCAGUAUACUGACUGUGCAAAGGUAGCAUAAUCAAUAGUCUUUUAAUUGAAGGCUUGAAUGAAUGGUUGGACGAGAUAUUAACUGUUUCAUUUAAAUUUAUAAUAAAAUUUUAUUUUUUAGUUAAAAAGCUAAAAUAAAUUUAAAAGACGAGAAGACCCUAUAAAUCUUUAUAUUUAAUUUAUUAUAAAUUUUUAGAUUAUUUUUUUUAUAAUAAUUAUAAUAUUUUAUUGGGGUGAUAUUAAAAUUUAAUAAACUUUUAAUUUUAUUUUACAUUAAUUUAUGAUUUAUUGAUCCAUUAUUAUUGAUUAAAAAUUUAAGUUACUUUAGGGAUAACAGCGUAAUUUUUUUUGAGAGUUCUUAUCGAUAAAAAAUAUUGCGACCUCGAUGUUGGAUUAAGAUAUAAUUUUAGGUGUAGUUGCUUAAAUUUUAAGUCUGUUCGACUUUUAAAUUCUUACAUG
Molecule: ribosomal RNA, 538 nt
Filed under: Lispe consanguinea
Lineage: Eukaryota; Metazoa; Arthropoda; Insecta; Diptera; Muscidae
Description: partial 16S ribosomal RNA
Rfam family: Bacterial large subunit ribosomal RNA
Source: RNAcentral